AUCAAAUUUACAUUCAAUUCAUCCAAACGCAGAUUAACAUUGAUAUCAUUUUGGAGUAUUUUAUACGCCUAAAUGAAUCAUCCUUUGGUUUAAGUAACAAAUAUUUUUUCUUCAUCAAAAUAAAACAAUGGCGCUGUACAAAUUGUGAAAAUGUAAAACAAAUCAAAUUGUUUGGACAAGUUCAGAUAAAUCAGUUUGUCAAUUGUUUGUAUUUCACCGCAUAACAACAAACAAAAAAACAGUUGCGGUGGUAAUAAACAAUGGCAACUAUAAAUUGGAAGGCAAGUAAAAAGUUUUGCUAUUAAACCAAAAUAUUCUGUUAGUUUCAGGUAAUUUACGAAGCUCAGAUACUACGUUCAGAUAUGAAAAUGUGCUGCAAAAUAUUUAUCAUAGUCCUUAUAAUUGUUCUUAACACAGUGUUAGAUUGUAAAGUGAAUGCUUUAAAAUGUGACGAUUGCACAACUAACUUUGAUCUUUGUUUAAAUACUUCACGAUCUCUUAAAUCAACUUUCAAUGAAUCUGCACAACAGUUUCAAGUGUGCCGUGCAGCUAAAGAGUCAUGUUUUGAAGAUUGUCGUAACAAGAAAUAGAAGUAUCAUGUUUUGAGAUUUGCCAAAAACAACAAAAAUAGAAAAACAUUUUGUUAACAUUAAAAAUAAAAAGUAAAAUUUGUGUUCUUGUGGUGUUUGUUUUUGUAAUGUGAGAAAAAUAUUCUUUUGAUAAGAGAUGUGUUCUUUUGAGAUUUUGGUGAGAGAGUGAUGCGUGAUCUUUGAAUGUGAAACUAAUGAAAAUGUUUGUAUUUAAAACUAUAAAAAAUAUCUUAUGUUAUUUUAAAAAGCUAUUUAUUUAAACGACUUGUAUAUUUAUGUUAUUUAAAAAAGUUAUCGUAAA
Hydra vulgaris (swiftwater hydra) is the source of this 891-nucleotide long non-coding RNA. RefSeq lists it as uncharacterized. The record is from RefSeq and is a predicted model, not a curated record. Lineage: Eukaryota; Metazoa; Cnidaria; Hydrozoa; Anthoathecata; Hydridae.